GAAAAUAACUCCCUAACCUAUGACUAAACCAAAUGCCCCUCGUAUCUCUUCUUCUCUUUCAUUCAGCGCUAGUCAGCCCCUUUUUUCGACAUUGUUUCAGACAAACCAUGCACCACGAGCCACCACCCAAAUACAACCACAAGACCACCACCCGCCCCUGAGCCUUAAUCCAUCACCAUUUUUCUCCAAAGCCUGACCAAAUCGGACCUGUGGCAAGUCUAAAUCAUGGGAAGUAACACUUCAAGACUUCUAUGAGUGAUAUGGUUCGAAACGGAUAUUGAUCGUGUGUUUUCUUCGAAAAACAAAUGGUUAAUGUUUGUUUUGACUCAAAUCGAGGUCGUGGAGUUCAUCGAAACCUUGUCUGGGCCUUUGAAGGCUUUAGUCUCGUCUUUUCUUUGUUGUCUUCCUCGUCGCUUUAAUUAUUCGAAUUCUUGCCCCCUCUGUUUCCUCCCUUCUGGGUCAUUUUUUUCUUUGUCAUUUUUCUUGCUGUUUUUUUUUUCUGUUUUAGAUCGUUAUGUUCACAUGUUUAAGAUUGAAGUAUCUCAGUGCCAUUUUUGGUUUAAUCUAUUUUGUUUUUCUAGUCGUUAGUUAUGGCAUUUUUGUUUUAUUUUAUUUCUGGCUAUGCUUUGGGGUCUAAACCAUGAAAUGGAGUCACUUGUUGAUUGGGUCUUUAGAAAACUCAGCGGGUGUAAUUGAGCGAAAGGCUACCAAAGCCCAGAAGGCUGUUGAAGCCCGUCGUCGCAAAAGCCCAGGGCUUUUGGCUAGUUUGGUUUGUAGGUGGGGGUAAUUAACAAGGUUGUUCAAGGUCGUUUUGGUAGUUCGGGAAGGGGAUGUUUUCUGUUGUAUAGGAUAAGAUUGAAAUGGCAUAUGAAGGUGAGAGAAAAUAAGAUUUUUGGGGGAAGGUUAAGGGAGUGAAAUCAGUGGUAGAUUGGGUAAAGCACUUCGUGGAAUCUUGCAUUAACCACCUAUGAAGCUUCUUAGAAGCUGAUAAAAGGCCUGACUUGGCCAACAAGUCAAGAGUUCAGGGAUUGGGUAGCAAAAAAUAAGAAUUAGCUAGGGACUGAUUUGAAAACUGAACAUAUUUGGAGUUGCCCUAAAAGGUGCCUAUAAAAGGAUAGCUAAGAGAGUCUUAGAAGGAGGGGAGCAAAAAUCUGGAAGGAGAACAGAUCUCCAAUGGAAAAAUUCAAAUAACUCUCUCCCAAAUAUUUAUUUUUAAAUUUAAAAAAAAGAGAGAAAAAUCCAAAAAAAGGGCAUUCAAAUACUGUUUUAUUGAAAUUUUAAGUUCAGUUUCAAGUUGUGGUGUGGAUUUACAUUGUUUAGCUCCAAGUCUGAUUGCUGAAGUUUUCUAGUUGUUCUUGAGGUAGCUUUCGAGUGGUUUUGAUUGUAACAAGCUGAAUCUGGACCAUUUUCACUGGUGUUGUUCUGUUUCUAUCCAUUGUUUGUCAUAAUUGGUGCUGGUUAUGGUUUUGAAAUCUUCCUGGGUUGUUGAUUCUAUUUCUAGAGCAUUUCGAGUCCACUAAAGUGCAUUCGAGUGAUUUGUAGUUGAUUGCUUGGGUCUGCCUGGUUUCAAACUUUUCUGGGCUGUGGAACUAACUUUCUGGGCUGUCGUUUGAGUUCUGCUUGUUAAUGUUGUUGAUUUCAUCUUCCCUUUCUUAUUUGCGAUUUCCAGGUACCCUACUGAGCUCCAAUUGAAGCUUCACCUGUGGAAGUCAUGAAAUAAAAUUGUUGCAAAGUUUCCUGCUGAUCAUCUGCACCUUAGUUAAUUUUAGUCAUGUUUCGAAUGAGUGGUUCAUUGUAUUCAAAUUGGCAUUGUUGUUGAAUUGUUUAGAUUGUUUUGAUUCAAGGAUUGUUUGGGUUUGGACUGUGCUUAUUUAUUAGUCAUAAUAAUUUGUAUAGUACACUAUUAAAUCAAAAGUAGCUGGAAGUUGAACAGGAGAAUGUUUUGGAACCCAUGGAUUUACUUGUUAGAAUAUGAAAAUUGAAUCAGUGUUGCUGUUGAAGAGCAACUAUAAUCGUUCUUAGUUAGUGACACUCAGAAGCUUAGCAAUCAUUAAUAUUGGGUUGAUUCAAUUAAGAUUUUGGCAAAGGUUGAAUCCUUGCAACUGGUUGGGUAGUUUUCAUAUCAGUUGAUAGUGGUUUCUUGUUUGAUUUGGCUCAUGCUAAUAUAGUAAUAAAGCAGGAACUUGAUUGAAUUGGC
This 2197-nucleotide long non-coding RNA is filed under the name Nicotiana benthamiana. RNAcentral's name for it is "long non-coding RNA (NBEN_LNC026729)". Lineage: Eukaryota; Viridiplantae; Streptophyta; Magnoliopsida; Solanales; Solanaceae. The record is from RNAcentral.